Molecule: ribosomal RNA, 546 nt
Filed under: uncultured bacterium
Lineage: Bacteria
Description: partial 16S ribosomal RNA
Rfam family: Bacterial small subunit ribosomal RNA
Source: RNAcentral
UGGGGAAUCUUAGACAAUGGGGGAAACCCUGAUCUAGCCAUGCCGCGUGAGCGAUGAAGGCAUUAGGGUUGUAAAGCUCUUUCAGCUGGGAAGAUAAUGACGGUACCAGCAGAAGAAGCCCCGGCUAACUCCGUGCCAGCAGCCGCGGUAAUACGGAGGGGGCUAGCGUUGUUCGGAAUUACUGGGCGUAAAGCGCACGUAGGCGGAUUAGUCAGUCAGAGGUGAAAUCCCAGGGCUCAACCCUGGAACUGCCUUUGAUACUGCUAGUCUUGAGGUCGAGAGAGGUGAGUGGAAUUCCCGAGUGUAGAGGUGAAAUUCGUAGAUAUUCGGAGGAACACCAGUGGCGAAGGCGGCUCACUGGCUCGAUACUGACGCUGAGGUGCGAAAGCGUGGGGGAGCAAAACAGGAUUAGAUACCCUGGUAGUCCACGCCGUAAACGAUGAAUGCCAGUCGUCGGGUUGCAUGCAAUUCGGUGACACACCCUAACGGAUUAAAGCAUUCCGCCUGGGGAGUACGGUCGCAAGAUUAAAACUUAAAGGAAUUGAC